Chrysolophus pictus (golden pheasant) is the source of this 1617-nucleotide long non-coding RNA. NCBI's taxonomy places the organism in Eukaryota, Metazoa, Chordata, Aves, Galliformes, Phasianidae. The record is from Ensembl.
CCCCGCCAGCUGCUGUGCUGCGCCCUGCGGGAUGGCAUUGAUGGCAUCGGUGGCACCUGGUGGCACCCAGUGUCACCUCCGCCAGCUGCUGCGCUGCACCCUGCGGGAUGGCAUUGAUGGCAUCGGUGGCACCUGGUGGCACCUUUGCCAGCUGUGCCCUGUAAGAUGGCAUCGAUGGCAUCAGUGGCAUCUGGUGGCACCCAGUGUCACCUCCACCAACUGUGCCCUGUGGGAUCGAUGGCAUCAGCGGCACCUGGUGUCACCUCCGCCAGCUGCUCCCUGCAGGAUCGAUGGCACCGGUGGCACCUGGUGACAUCUGCUGUCACCUCCACCAGCUGCCACGUGGCGCCCUGCGGGAUUGAUGGCAUCAGUGGCACCUGGUGGCACCCAGUGUCACCUCUGCCAGCUGCUGCGCUGCGCCCUGUGGGAUCGAUGGCAUUGGUGGCACCUGGUGGCACCCAGUGUCACCUCCGCCAGCUGUGCCCUGCAGAAUGGGGCUGGGGACCUCCAAAGGGACCCGAAAUGUCAUCAGAGGGACCCGAAAUGGGGCUGGGGACCCCCAGAGGGAUCUGCCCCCCGGUGCCCCCCCGGCCAGCUGCUGCACCGUGCCCUGCGGGAUGGCAUCGAUGGCAUCGGUGGCACCCAGUGUCACCUCCGCCAGCUGCCGCGCCGCACCCUGCAGGUUGGCAUUGAUGGCAUCGGUGGCACCUGGUGUCACCUCCACCAGCUGUGCCCUGCGGGAUGGCAUUGAUGGCAUCGAUGGCACCGGUGGCAUCUCCACCAGCUGUGCCCUACAGGAUUGAUGGCAUCAAUGGCAUCAGUGGCACCUGGUGGCACCCAGUGUCACCUCCACCAGCUGCCGCGCUGCGCCCUGCGGAAUCAAUGGCAUCAGUGGCACCUGGUGACAUCUGGUGUCACCUCUGCCAGCUGCUGCACUGCGCCCUGUGGGAUGGCACUGGUGGCACCCGGUGUCACCUCCACCAGCUGUGCCCUGCAGGAUGGGGCUGGGGACCCCCAGAGGGACCCGAAAUGUCAUCAGAAGGCCCCAGAAUAGGGCUGGGAACCCCGCAAGACCCGAAAUGUUAUCAGAGGGCCCCGGAAUGGGGCUGGGGACCCCGCAGGACCCGAAAUGUCAUCAGAGGGCCCAGAACAGGGCUGGGGACCCCCAGCAGGACCCGAAAUGUCAUCAGAGGACCCCAGAAUGGGGCUGGGGACCCCCAGAGGGACCUGAAAUGGGGUUGGGGACUCCCAGAGGGACCCAAAAUGUCAUCAGAGGGACCUGAAAUGGGGCUGGGGACCCCCAGAAGGACCCGAAAUGUCAUCAGAGGGCCCCGGAAUGGGGCUGGGGACCCCCAGAGGGAUCCGAAAUGUCAUCAGAGGGCCAGAAUGGGGCUGGGGACCCCCAGAGGGAUCCGAAAUGUCAUCAGAGGGCCCCGGAAUGGGGCUGGGGACCCCCAGAGGGACCUGAAAUGGGGCUGGGGACCCCCAGAAGGACCCGAAAUGUCAUCAGAGGGCCCCGGAAUGGGGCUGGGGACCCCGCAGGACCCGACCUGGCUGCGCUUGUCCCCCUCCACGCUGGCCUUGAUGUGGGCGUCGUACUCCUGGAACAGGUGGUGA